Molecule: ribosomal RNA, 18 nt
Filed under: Dendrobium canaliculatum
Lineage: Eukaryota; Viridiplantae; Streptophyta; Magnoliopsida; Asparagales; Orchidaceae
Description: partial 26S ribosomal RNA
Source: RNAcentral
GCGACCCCAGGAUGACGA